Molecule: long non-coding RNA, 1539 nt
Filed under: Macaca fascicularis (crab-eating macaque)
Lineage: Eukaryota; Metazoa; Chordata; Mammalia; Primates; Cercopithecidae
Description: lncRNA (ENSMFAG00000062936.1)
Source: RNAcentral
GUGAAGGUUGCAGUAAGCCGACGACUCUGCACUCCAGCCUGGGUGACAGAGUGAGACUCUGUCUCAAAAAAAAAGAGAAGAAAAUAAAUAUUUAUUAAACAAUACCACAGAGAAAGUUAAAAGGUGAAUCACAACCUGGAAAAAUAGCCAUACAUAUAAUGAAGAAAAGAUUAGUAACUGGAUAUUUGGAUAUAUAAGUAACACUUAUGAAUCAAUAUGAAAAAGAUAAACAACCCAAUAGAAAAAUGGGGAAAGACUAUGAAUAUAUAAUUCACAGAAGAGAGACCCAAAUGGCCAAUAAACAAAUAACAGAUUGAUCAACCAGGAUCUGAAUCUCUGUGUUGGCUGAGUAAUUAACAUCCUUUCCCCUAGUGACCCUCAACAAUGGCUGACUGGCGUUGGUGUAUAACAACCCCAAAUAUGCCAGCCACCUUCCCUCUCUCAUUUUCCAGAGUUUUUCCUUGAAAUUGAGCUCUAAUUGCUCACGAUAAUAACUGGCUUGAUACUGCACCCUGUACUGACCGCCUUUCCUCCUUCCUUGCCUCACUUCCUUCCACCCCUACCUGCUUUCUCAGAUGAUGUCCCACAUUAACCUUGAAUCCCUGCCUCAGGGCUUUCUUCUGGGGGAACCUAAACUAACAUAAAAUUGUUCAAGCUUCCUUGCCUGAAUCAAACAGAUUCUGAGUCCCUAGCAGCUCUGUGGGAACUUUCCACAUUAAAAAAACACCAAAAAACAAAAAAUGACAGCCUCCCUUAAAAUGCAUAUGAGAGACAGGGCCUGUUGGCUGGGGGCCCAGACUAUGGCCACAGUCACAGACUUCAAAGCUGCCUCAAGCCUGGGACUCCAGCUCGUGGACAUUCUGCAGGUCUGCUUUCUUUCUGUCCUCUUUGAACCUUGUCCAUAAUCAGUGCCCUUGGCCCUGCCUUGCUAGGGUUCAUAGCUAAACUCUCCCUGUUCCUUGAGCCAUUUUUGAUACGCGGAUCUGACUGCGGUCUGUUUAACAUGGUAAACACUGCAAUCUGGGCCAUAUCUCUAGUCACAGGCUUUUGGUCAGCCAGUUCCACAGACAGGGUUAUGUGUCACCUAUCCCCCAUUUUGGGGUUCCUGCCACAGUCACAGCGCAAGUGAAUGCAAGAACCACUUCACCAUAAAAAAGGCUGCCUCACUGCCAGUGGCUUCUCAGAUAAUGGGAGUUGGUGCCAGUGGCUUUGGCAGCAACAUGAGAUAGGGACCUCUGUACAGGCAUCAGAGGCCUUGAUCAUGACCUUGGCAGUGGUCUGUAUCAGGGCCUUGAGAUGGUGCUUCUGGUGGUGCCAGGACAAUGUGCUUGUUUCUUUCUUUUUUUGAGAUGGAGUUUUACUCUUGUCGUCCAGGCUGGAGUGCAGUGGCAUGAUCUUGGCUCACUGCAACCUCCACCUCCUGGGUUCAAGCAAUUCUUGUGCCUCAGCCUCCCUAGGAGCUGGGCUUAUAGGUGCACACUGCCACACCCGGCUAAUUUUUUGUAUCUUUAGUAUAGUCAGGGUUUUGCCAUGUUGGGC